This 432-nucleotide unclassified non-coding RNA is filed under the name uncultured Saccharomycetales. Its description in RNAcentral is "sequence contains ITS2". The stretch from base 1 to 154 matches the Rfam family "5.8S ribosomal RNA". Lineage: Eukaryota; Fungi; Ascomycota; Saccharomycetes. The record is from RNAcentral.
AACUUUCAGCAAUGGAUCACUUGGUUCUCGCAUCGAUGAAGAACGCAGCGAAUUGCGAUAAGUAAUGUGAAUUGCAGAUUUUCGUGAAUCAUUGAAUCUUUGAACGCAUAUUGCACUCUAUGGUAUUCCAUAGAGUAUACCUGUUUGAGCGUCAUUUCUCUCUUAAACCUUUGGGUUUAGUUAUGGGGGUCGUGUUUCUUUCUUUAAACAAAGAAACUCCCCUGAAAUGGCUCGGCAUGCUUCCCUUACCUUGCUAAGUAGCUUUAGCUGGCUUUAUUAUGUAGGUUUUACCAAUAUUAAUAAACACCCAGUUAAUUGGCUGAAAGGUUUGUGGUAAGAAGCCUAAACAAAAUUUUGUUUUAGAACAUAAAUUUUGACCUCAAAUCAGGUAAGGAUACCCGCUGAACUUAAGCAUAUCAAUAAGCGGAGGAU